AGCGAACGCUGGCGGCAGGCUUAACACAUGCAAGUCGAGCGGGCACUUUCGGGUGUCAGCGGCGGACGGGUGAGUAACGCGUGGGAACGUGCCCUCUGGUUCGGAAUAACUCAGGGAAACUUGAGCUAAUACCGGAUACGCCCUUUUGGGGAAAGGCUUGCUGCCGGAGGAUCGGCCCGCGUCUGAUUAGCUAGUUGGUGAGGUAACGGCUCACCAAGGCGACGAUCAGUAGCUGGUCUGAGAGGAUGAUCAGCCACACUGGGACUGAGACACGGCCCAGACUCCUACGGGAGGCAGCAGUGGGGAAUAUUGGACAAUGGGAGCAAGCCUGAUCCAGCCAUGCCGCGUGAGUGAUCAAGGCCUUAGGGUUGUAAAGCUCUUUUAUCCGGGACGAUAAUGACGGUACCGGAGGAAUAAGCCCCGGCUAACUUCGUG
This 435-nucleotide ribosomal RNA is filed under the name uncultured bacterium. RNAcentral's name for it is "partial 16S ribosomal RNA". It matches the Rfam family "Bacterial small subunit ribosomal RNA", at positions 29 to 507 of the family's 1533-position model. The record is from RNAcentral.